RNAcentral lists this ribosomal RNA (433 nucleotides) under uncultured bacterium. Its description in RNAcentral is "partial 16S ribosomal RNA". It matches the Rfam family "Bacterial small subunit ribosomal RNA", at positions 29 to 507 of the family's 1533-position model. The record is from RNAcentral.
AACGAACGCUGGCGGCAUGCCUAAUACAUGCAAGUCGAACGAGAUCUUCGGAUCUAGUGGCGCACGGGUGCGUAACGCGUGGGAAUCUGCCCUUGGGUUCGGAAUAACUUCUGGAAACGGAAGCUAAUACCGGAUGAUGACGUAAGUCCAAAGAUUUAUCGCCCAAGGAUGAGCCCGCGUAGGAUUAGCUAGUUGGUGGGGUAAAGGCCCACCAAGGCGACGAUCCUUAGCUGGUCUGAGAGGAUGAUCAGCCACACUGGGACUGAGACACGGCCCAGACUCCUACGGGAGGCAGCAGUAGGGAAUAUUGGACAAUGGGCGAAAGCCUGAUCCAGCAAUGCCGCGUGAGUGAUGAAGGCCUUAGGGUUGUAAAGCUCUUUUACCCGGGAUGAUAAUGACAUUACCGGGAGAAUAAGCUCCGGCUAACUCCGUG